AAUAAACGGAAGGAACACUGGGGACCAGGCCACCUUGGGGAGCUGCAGCAAUGGCUGGAGAGUGACCUUCCAGAGGCAUCAUGGAUAUCCGUGGUGAUGGGGGCAGCAUAUGGUCUUCACAGGUGAGGUACACCCAUUGCAAUGCAACUUUGCAGAAAUCCCUUUCAAGAGAUCAAGUCUAUUUCCCACCCCUUGAAUCUGGACAGACUUUUGACUUACUUUGGCUAAUACGAUGCAGCAAAAGCAAUCCUGUGCCAGUUGAUCAAGAGGCCCAGCAGCUCCCACUGCCUUGGACCCCUGUCCUGCUGUCAUAUAAACAAAUAUGGGCUAGCCUGCUACAGGCUGAGAGACCAUGUGAAGCAGAACCAAGUUGUUCCAGUUGAAGCCAUCCAGAUCAUCCUAUAGCCAGCUGACCCCAAAACAUGUGACAGACCCCAGCCCAGAUCAGCAGAUCUGCCUAUCCAAUCUGCAGCUGACCUGAGACACAUGAGUGAGCCCAGCUAAGACUACAAGAACCAUCCAGCUGAUCUGAAAAUUCAUUAAUCAAAUCAAUGCUUAUUGUUGUUAGCUGUAUUGCUUUUCUAUUGCUUUGUAACAAAUUACCACAAAUUUAGUGGCUUAAAACAACACCCAUUUAUUAGCUCACAGUUCUGUAAGUUAGAAAUCUGGAUGGGUUCAGUGGGGUUAGAGUCUCCUUAGAGUCUCACAACCAGUAUUUAGCUUCACUGCUGAGCCAUGUAGUGUACUAUAUUAAUAUUUCCUUUCUUAUGCAACUUGGAGUUGAUAGCUGCUGGCUUUUUUUAUUCACUUAUUUUUAUUGAUACAUAAUAUUUGCAAUUUAUGGGGUACAUGUGAUAUUUUGAUUCCGGCACACAAGGUGUAAUAAUCAAGUCAGGGUGUUUAGAAUAUCCAUCACCUUGAACAUGUAUUAUUUCCUUGUGUUGGGAGCAUUUCAAAUCUAGCUAUUUUGACAUAUAUGGCUGUUAACUAUAGUCAUUCCACUGUGCUAUUGAAUACUAGAACAUAUUCCUUCUCUCUAACUGCAGGUUUGUACCCAUUAAUAAACCUUUCUUCAUCCUUCCACCCCCACUUUCCCAGCCUCUGGCAACUAAUAUAUACAUAAUAUCUAUCUAUUCCCUUGCUGGGUAGGGGAGGGACAGUUGCUGUGUGGGUUAGAAAAAUAGGCCAGGGAGCGGGUGGGAGAUCUCACAGCUCUUUCUACAAACUCUCGUCUAAAUCCAACAUCUAAAUCCAACACAUAAACACCCUAUUAUUUCUCUCAUAAAAGCAAAACAAAACCAAAUCCAAAAAGCCUCACUCCUACUCCACCUCCCGCCUUCUGAUCUCAUGUCUCCCUUCCAUUUGUAGCAAAACUUUUUGGAAGACCUUUCUUCUGUCCAAUAUGGCAGCCCCUAGCUACAUGUGGCUCUCGAGCACUUGCAGUGUAGCCAGCAAAAUCGAGGUGCAUUGUAAGGGUAAAAUAUACACCACAUUUCAAAGACAUCAUAUGAAAAACAAUGCAAACUAUCUCAUUAAUAAUUUUAUAUCAAUUACAUAUGGAA
This 1562-nucleotide long non-coding RNA is filed under the name Homo sapiens (human). Its description in RNAcentral is "HSALNT0155405". The record is from RNAcentral. Lineage: Eukaryota; Metazoa; Chordata; Mammalia; Primates; Hominidae.